Molecule: ribosomal RNA, 385 nt
Filed under: uncultured bacterium
Lineage: Bacteria
Description: bacterial SSU rRNA
Rfam family: Bacterial small subunit ribosomal RNA
Source: RNAcentral
AUUGAACGCUGGCGGCAUGCCUUACACAUGCAAGUCGAACGGCAGCGCGGGGCAACCUGGCGGCGAGUGGCGAACGGGUGAGUAAUAUAUCGGAACGUGCCCUGGAGUGGGGGAUAACGCAGCGAAAGUUGCGCUAAUACCGCAUACGAUCUAAGGAUGAAAGCAGGGGACCGCAAGGCCUUGUGCUCCUGGAGCGGCCGAUAUCUGAUUAGCUAGUGGUGGGGUAAAGGGCCUACCAAGGCAUCGAUCAGUAGCUGGUCUGAGAGGACGACCAGCCACACUGGAACUGAGACACGGUCCAGACUCCUACGGGAGGCAGCAGUGGGGAAGUUUUGGACAAUGGGCGCAAGCCUGAUCCAGCAAUGCCGCGUGAGUGAAGAAGGCC